GAUUUCUUUGUUGCAAUGUUGGGGUCUGAGAUAACACUGUUGGAGGCUGCAGGCAACCACAGCUGAUUCCACCUUUUAUUGUGUGUUGUUAUUUACCAGCGUUAUAAGCUAAGGAGGCAGAUAGAUGACAAAGAGCUUGAAGAUUUUGCACAGCUCACAGGCCCUGAAGAGAGGCUGGCAGCGUCAGACCGACAGAACCAAGACAUCUGAGGGGCAACCAGGAGGUGCCUGUGGCUGCACAGCACAGAGAGUCCGUGGUACUCUUAGAAGAAGAACGCCCUGCCUUGUCUCCCUCAUUCCCCACUGAUGCCAACACUGAGCUGAACACUACAAGGGAGAGUGAAUCCAUUGCUUCUCCAUGUUGCUGUGAAGGUGGCUGGAAAGCAUGCAGUAGGACACUAAAGAUUUGGCACUUACUCUCAUUAACUGAUGAAUUUGGAGGACCUAGAAGUGGAAAGCCAGCACUCCCAGGAUAUGAAUCAGAGAAAAAGCAGUGAAGUCUUGUCCCAGGGAGAAAAGGGAAGACUGGCAGAGAAUUUUUCACUGAUUUGUCUUCCGAAAACACUGAGACUUAGCUGCUCCACGGGGCUUCCUCACUUCUGAGACGCGGGUGAAUGAUUUGAAGAUUUCAGUCCUAGCAACACAGAAGCAACUUUAAAAAUAAGAUUUGCAAGAAGUUACCUCUCUCAGGUAAUGAUACUUUCCUGUAAUUUCUCUCAAAUCUUCCAUUUCCUCAAGGACUACAUAUUUUUAGGGCAUACAUGAAUGAUUUAAUUACAAAGAACUACAUUUUAAAUUUAAUUUUUUAAAACUAGCAACCAGUUUUAUAAUUUUGAAAGCCAAUGGGUACAACAAUCAUGGCAUUCAAUUCUAUGCACUUUGAAACAGUUUUUUUAAAUUAAUUGUAUAAUAGUGCGUGUUUCUUUUGACAAUAAUUUAGGCAGAAUGUGUUUGAAACCAGCAGGCAAUGCCCACAAACUCUGUGUCUAGCAUAGGUAUUUGAAUUUAAAAAAGAAAAAGUCACGCUUAGUGAAUUGGUUCUAAAGAGGCUAUCAAGUGUUCUGAAUUAUAGAUCUGUAAAUUGUAGAAUGUCAUUAUUGAUAUUUUAACUUUAGCCUUAGUUUAUUAAUACAAUAUAGCACUAGCUGAAACUCUGAAUAUACAUCCAGUGAGUAAGACUUGACCUCGGCUCUCUUGAGAUAGACAGUUGCCUUUUAGUGUCAUUUAAG
Molecule: non-coding RNA, 1229 nt
Organism: Castor canadensis (American beaver)
Lineage: Eukaryota; Metazoa; Chordata; Mammalia; Rodentia; Castoridae
Source: RefSeq, a predicted model, not a curated record